Molecule: ribosomal RNA, 464 nt
Filed under: uncultured Desulfobulbus sp.
Lineage: Bacteria; Pseudomonadati; Thermodesulfobacteriota; Desulfobulbia; Desulfobulbales; Desulfobulbaceae
Description: bacterial SSU rRNA
Rfam family: Bacterial small subunit ribosomal RNA
Source: RNAcentral
ACAAGACGGUGGAGUAUGUGGUUUAAUUCGAUGCAACGCGAAGAACCUUACCUGGUCUUGACAUCCCGGAGACCCUUAGGAAACUAGGGGGUGCUUCCAUCUGGAAGAAUCUGGAGACAGGUGCUGCAUGGCUGUCGUCAGCUCGUGUCGUGAGAUGUUGGGUUAAGUCCCGCAACGAGCGCAACCCUUGCCUUUAGUUGCCAGCAGUUCGGCUGGGCACUCUAAAGGGACUGCCGGUGUUAAACCGGAGGAAGGUGGGGAUGACGUCAAGUCCUCAUGGCCUUUAUGACCAGGGCUACACACGUACUACAAUGGCCGAUACAAAGGGCAGCGACACUGCGAGGUGAAGCCAAUCCCGUAAAAUCGGUCUCAGUCCGGAUUGGAGUCUGCAACUCGACUCCAUGAAGUUGGAAUCGCUAGUAAUCGUGGAUCAGCAUGCCACGGUGAAUACGUUCCCGGGCCUU